Molecule: long non-coding RNA, 1574 nt
Filed under: Sus scrofa (pig)
Lineage: Eukaryota; Metazoa; Chordata; Mammalia; Artiodactyla; Suidae
Description: lncRNA (ENSSSCG00065038934.1)
Source: RNAcentral
GAAGUCUUCAGUUAAUCCAAGUAAUCAUGCUAUGUGCAUGGGAGAGAGAAAACCUGAAUCUUUUUCUGGCUGCCUUACUGAGUGCUAUAAAUUGUCCUCCAACACAUGUAGGGAGAGCAGAGCCAAAAUUUCCACAGAAGGACUCCAACCAGGAAACUCUGGAUGUGCUUCUUUUUUCAGAGAACGACUCUGGCUUUCAGGCCCCCUUGCCAAUCCCACACCCAUGGAGGACCCUUGACUAAUAGUUGUUUUUAAGGAGUCUUUGUUGAUUUCAAACAGAAACUAAAAUGCAACCCAAGGACUCAGAUGAGAGCAGAACUUCUAGAAAGUGAGUCGAAAGCAAAGGAGCGCAUAUACUCUCUGCUGCAAAGGCUUCUGAGAAGGAGAAGUCAAGAGUUUGAUGUCUUUGUCAUCCCUGCUCGGGCAGCAGGAUACUUUCCCAGAGGCCAUGGAGACAGGACGCCUAGGUGCCCAAGCACUGCAGAGAUGGAUUCCAGUGGGAGAUGCCAAAACUCAUUUUUCUGGCUGCAGUUCUCGGACAAGACUUGACCUCUUCCAGUUGGGACUCCCUGCAGCAAAUCACAUUACACAGCUGUGCCUUUAGAACAAUGAGACACACCUAGAGGAUCAGACCAGGAUGCCAAGAAAAUGUCCACACAGAGAAACAGUAAACACUCUGACAUCAUAUGAACUGAUUGGCUUCCUAUAUUCUGAGGUCUUUUUAUAGAGAUUUCACUCAGAUAAAAAUGCAAGCCGCUGAACCAUAUGCCUAAGUGUUUUCUCUACGCUGCUGGCCUGAGCAGCUGGCAAAACACGAUCUAGGACUGAUAAACUAUCCUGACAAAAGCACUUCAGAGAGGUCUGCAGGCUGGGGUCUGAAAGAGGUCUGAAUUUUAAAAAGGUACUAAUUGCUCAAAGGAUGGAACAGUUCCUCCGAAAUCUAACCCGGUACCUUAAUAGAACCCAUUAAGGCACUGUGAGAAUCAUAGAGAGAAAACAUGUCCCCAGUAAGGAAGGAUGACGUGGAAACGCACUGACCAGGACUUUUCAGGCACCGAUGAAUCCUUCAAGAACUGAAAGAAAAACUUGAUUUUAGCAACUGAGCAAGAAACAAAGGUGCGAAAGUCGAUCACAGAGGAACUAUUAGAGAUAAGGUUAAGGGUCUCUGUGCAAACGUGGAUGUCUGUGACCUCCAUCCUCCCAGCAGAUGUUGCCAAGGUCUGUUGGGAAGCCUGGGGGGGCGGGCAGUGCCCAAAGGGUGGGAAGGCAUGGCUUAGUCACACACUUGUGACCUCUGACCCUCCAGAGAGAGUAUGAGCUCCACAGCUGGGCCUGGCCUGCUCCUUUGGCACCUGCGGUGUGGAUUUCAUAUCAACAGUUGAUCGCUGUUUGACAGGACUUUAUUAAACAUACAGAACCCUACAUUACUGGGCAGUGAAUCCAAAGGAGGACUGAACCAAUCAGGGCUGAGGACUUGGGUGCCUGCUGCCAUGUUUUAUCUCAUCCCACUGCCUCCGCACCAGGGAUCUCAAUAAUUUCGGGCUCUCUGAUGAUGGCCUCUCAUCCCUAUGUUU